Anolis carolinensis (green anole) is the source of this 11360-nucleotide long non-coding RNA. RefSeq lists it as uncharacterized. The record is from RefSeq and is a predicted model, not a curated record. NCBI's taxonomy places the organism in Eukaryota, Metazoa, Chordata, Lepidosauria, Squamata, Anolidae. The transcript is spliced from 3 exons.
AAUUCCCAAUGCCUAAAGAGAGUAUCUAUUAGAUGCUGUAUGUAGGAUUCCAAAGAAGGAGCCAUUAAUUCUGUACAGAUAAAGUUGAAAAGAAAAGACAAAGAGCUACAAUAAACAUUUCCAAAGCUUUUAUCUGUUGUUACGCAAAGCCUAAGGCUACAAGUAAGCUGUUACAGCUUAUAUAAAUCCUGCUUAAAUUUAAAAUGUGACUGAAAGGCCUUUUUUCUUAGUCUUCUUCAUGCAACAUUCACCCUUUUCUUUCUCUGUUGCAUAAGCGAAAACAAUAUCCACUUUAAUUUUAACUGGAAAACAUAUUGACAACCCCUUGAUUUGACUGUCUGCCAUGUAUAGGCUGAGCCCUUAAUACAUAAAUGUAAAGAAAACCAUAAUCCAAACUUCCCAGAGGCAUGAGCCUUGCUUAAAACAAGUUCCCAUCAGGCUGCAUGCUCUGCUAUUGAUCCAUGUGCUAUCUACUUUGUGGUCAGGGUAAUGUUUUAACUGCAGGGCUCAGCUUCAACAUUUUGGAAGUUUUUCACAGCAAGCCCAGUUUAUUGACAAUGAUAAACAAAAUAGUAUCCAAUAAUAAAGGCUAGCCCUCUUUCCUUUACAAUUCUCUCUACUUCGACCUCAAUCACUGAAUUCCAAAAACGUUUCAUGAUGAUAUCAAAACAUCUACAGUUGGAGUGUAGAUCAUGCAGUCCAACAUAUGUUGUUGAGCUACAACGCUUAUGACUGUUGAGGGCUGCUAUUCAGAAAUAUCUGGUGCAUUGAGUAAUUCCUAACACUGUCUAUGUAUCAUGCUACACCUGAAAUGUUUACUUAAAACAGCAAUGUUAAGGUAGAUAUAAAUUACAGCAGAGUCUCACUUAUCCAACAUUCUGGAUUAUCCAACGUAUUUGUAGUUGUUUUCAAUACAUCAUUUUAUUUUGGUGCUAAAUUCGUAAAUACAGUAAUUACUACAUAGCAUUACUGCAUAUUGAACUACUUUUUUUCUGUCAAAUUUGUUGUAUAACAUAAUGUUUUGGUGCUUAAUUUGUAAAAUCAUAACCUAAUUUGAUGUUUAAUAGGCUUCGCCUUAAUCUCUCCUUGUUAUCCAACAUAUUCGCUUAUCCAACAUUCUGCCGGCCCAUUUACGUUGGAUAAGUGAGACUCUAUGUUGCACCCCAAGGCAGCGUGAGCACUGGAAACCAGACAGAGACCAAUAAUCAUAUAAUAUCUUUAUUAAAACAAUUAAUCAGGAAUGAAUAAGUGGAAAGGAUGAGUGGAUAAUAGUCCUUUGUGAAAAGGUAUGAAUUAGUCGAAAGAGUUGAAGAGAAAUGUCCAAUAUUAUUGUCCAAAGUCCAGAAACCGAAACACGCUCAAAACUGUUGGAAAGUUCUUGAGCGGGGAACAACAAGGAAGCAAGACUGAAUAACAAAGUCCAAAGUCACUAGGAAGUCUUUGAUAUCAAGGCAGGAAUGAGACGAAGCUAAGACCAAACUUGAUUCAGGAACAAGGCAAGGAAGAGGAUUUACUCUGGGUCUACUUGGGAGUCACGGCUCAGCUUGGCUGCCAGGAACAGGAAACUUGGCUUGGUAGAAUCAGGAGCUAGAGUCGGUGAACUGUUCUCAGGAAAUAGCUACGUUGACACCGCAAAGUGUUCACAGUGCAAGACACUUUUAUGGAACUUAGAUCUAAACACAACGAAGGGAAGCCAAACUCCCCAGAGGUUCCCAAGGGAAUCUUCUAUCCAUUAUCCCCUCGAGAUGCCAAGCAGUUACUCCUUUGGAGCCCUUGUUUUUCUGAUCUCUGGCAAUGCAGAAACUCCCUUCUGUUGAAGGACACAUUCUCUGGGGAACUCAGAACAUCUGGUUCAGCCAUGGGAGUAAUAUUUCCAGUUUCUCUCCCAAUUAAGGAAUCAUCCGAGCUAUCAACAGCCGGCAGCUGUAAUUGGAAGGAUUUCUGCAGACUAGGUAAAAAGUCAGAAUAAGUUUCAUCCUGGUCAAAGUUCAUUUCUGAAUCAAGUUCAGAAACCAAAGGUGGUUGGGGUAUGACACUCUACUGUAUGUUGAAUUAACUGAAAAGUUACUACCCUAUUUUUGAGUGACUGAUGUUCUUCAGUAAGAGCUAGGUUAUGUUGCUCAGUCCAGCCCUUCUAUCACACCCUUCCCAUGAUGUGCUCUGCCCCAACUAUUGCAUGUUGAUCACAAUGGUCUGAACAAUGUACUCCUAAGAAGUCCACUCCACUGGGAUAUCCACACAAUUAGACAUCCUGACUAAGUAAAGUCUGUAUGCAUGAGCAGUUGUUCACUCUUAGAAUUUCUGUUUGAUAAACUGGGGCAUGGCUAGCCUGAUAUUACAACAUCAGUGUAAGGUCAGCAAUGAAACCCCAUUCAUGCUGCAACAUGUCAAUGUCUAAUGCACAAGGAAGACGUAAACAGAAUGUUCAGUCUGAUGUUUGGAGACUCUAUGGAGGAUAAUGUCUGCUUUAACAAAUGAAAUUUGAAGAUUGUAUAUUGUAAGAAUACUUGCCACUCAGAAUUGUUUUAAUGUUCAGUGUACAUGACGUACAUUAUCUCAAUGAUCCUUACAACUGUCCUGUGAAAUAGAUUGAUAUUAUUGUCUUGACACUGCAAGCAGGGAGCUUGUUAAAGGACAGUUGUUUAUCAAAGGAUAUUUACUGAAAAGAAGAGGAAGAUUUGGACCAAGAACAUUUUGAAUGGUCACAAAUCUUUUCUUCUGACAAUGAAAAAUACCUAACAUAACAAAGACAGUUAAAUAUUGAUUAGUUCUGCUCUUGUUGUAAUCCGUAGGCUCAACCAGUGCAGGAUUAAUUUGCUGCAAACACUAUCUUAUCGGAAAAGUUUGACCUCAAUUCAGAGAAGGAAAAUGGAACAGCUCUAUGUUCUAUUCCUGGGAUCUCCAGAAAGUCCCAGAGAUACCCAAGACCUUGGAGAGACUCAUACUAGACAAAGCAAAGCUAAAUGGAUCAAUGGUCUGACUCAUUAUAAAGCACUUUCAUAGGCUGGAUUCCUUUUGUAGCUUUCUGUUUCAAUCCUUUGGGGAAUUUUGGUAUUUCUUAAUUAAGAGUCUCAUCCCACCAAGUUUUUUUUUGGUUCUACAGCUGUUUUGUCCCUCCUUAAAUGCUUUACUGUUAACAUAUGCAAUUUGGAACAGCCUAAUAGCAGUAUUGAGCAAAACCAUGCUCUUGCAAUGAAUUUUGAUGGAGAGAUAAUGCUUAUACAAUUUAUAUUUAACUCAACAAAAUGCUGUAUCAUCUUAGAUUUACUGCUGGUAUAAAACAUUUUAAUUAUUUUAGCAAACAGUUCAGGAAUCCCAUAUUCUUUUACCACACUGCUGGUAGCCCCUCAUCUUUGUAAUUUUAAGUGCAUCAGGGAUAAUGAAAGACCAAAUAUCUUUCUCUUUCUCUGGUAUGUUAUUUAUCACUUCCUCCAAUAAUGAAAGCUGGCUUGAGUGCCUAUCAGCUUUGAUGUUAAACAGAGACCAUGUAGAUAGGUAGAAUUACCUAAGAUGUGUGAGCAACGCCCUCCCCCCCCCCCCAUCAAAAAAGAUAGGUCUAAAAGAAUGAGCAGAUCAAAUUAGUUUUAUCUUGUCUGAAAGCUGUACCAGAGGAGCAGAGCUAUUCCAUAUACUUGACCCAAGAAAAGGACACACUUGAGGACAGAUGCCUUCUUCCACCAAGUGCACAACUUCACAAAGGGUGCCUAUGGACCAGUUAGGAAGGAAGGGGACAGACAGAUUAGCUCGGUCUCCCUUAAUGAUCAAGUGACAGAUGUCUGAAUCAAAAAGACUGAAAAUUUAUUAAGUAUAUGACCAAGAGAAGCUGAAAGUAUAAUUUUGGGGUAGUAGCUCAGAAUUGAACACUGCAAUCUAAAAAACUACAGAACAAAUAAGUUUCAGAUUUUAGGAAAGUUUCAACUGAAAUCUACACCCUGAAUUUCUAGUAUGGCACUAUUACAUUUUAGUUGUUAACUGUACUGCAAUCUAGUCUAUGUUGCCACUGCACUACUUCAUUGGCUGUUCAGUUCUCAUGAGAUCUCUUGAAUUGUCCUUACAACCAGGUAGUACAAAUAUAUCCUUUUGAAAUGCAGACAUCACAUGCACAGUAUUAAGAGAUUCCUUGCACAGAAAAAUAUUCUUAACUAUGGUUCUGUCACCAAUAGAAGCUCUCUUUGCAGGAACACUUGAGAACUCAAAUAAACAGAUGCAAAUAUAGAUGAACACUUCAUUGAAUGUAUGUGAAUUGAAAAUAAAUUUCAGGUAGACUUAGAAGUAAGAAUUUGCAGGGGAAAAGAGAUGAACGCCAAUAGCCAAAAGUGACAGGAUAUCGCAAACUCAGUCUGCACACCGUCACAGCAAAAGUAGAACAAAUUUCUAGCUGCAAUACAGAUGCAAAUUCAGAAUAUACACGAAGUGAUCAACCAGAUUGCAUAAAAUAUGUUUUCAUUUAAAGUAACAGUAAACAUUUCCUGAAUGCUAUCAUGCUUAUGUAGCUAAAAUGGAAUCACCCAUGUAGAAAAGGAGGCUGCAGAAGUAUAUCACAUCUACCUUUGGGGCAAAAUAAUGACAACAACAAAUUAAAAGGUGGGAACACUCUAAACACAAGGCACUGCACAAGUGCUGCUUGUAAGCCGCCUUGAGUUCCCCUCGAGGUAGAGAAAGGCGAGAUAUAAAUAUGGUAAAUAAAUAAAUAAACAAUGGCCAUAGAAUGCUUAAUUUAUCAGGGGGAGGGGGUGAAACAGAUAACAGGAGGUAGGGAAAAUAUGUAUAUAAUUGGAGUGAGCUUGUUGCCAGUCCCACUUGCUAAAUCUUAACACAAACAAAAAUCUAGAUUUGUACAGAACUAAAAAAUGAAAUGUAAUAUCUUUAAAGAGAGCCAUAAUAUUAAAAAUAAAGCAGUCCAAAAGAAGUACAAGAUAUAAAGGCCAGACAUGCUUUUAACCCAAUUAUCCAGAUGCGUGCAGUAGAUAUUUUUUCUUUUUUUUCAUUGACCUAUAUUUUAUUUACUGCUUCCUUCUCUCUGAAUACUCAGUGGACCACUCAUUCUAUAUCUCUCACAAAAUAAGCUUCAGUAAAAACAAAGCUGUGGAGACACAAAACUUUCCUACUUAAUUGAAUUUCUCAGCAAAUAGCCGUGCUUCACAAUAGAUUGGUGAUAAUAAUGGUCUCAUUGGCAAUUUCAGGGAACAGCUACUGUCACUAGCAUCAGCACACCAUCCUUGGGAGCUCCCCAAAAUAUGGAGUCAGAUAUUGCUGUAAAGAAAAUGCUGUUUCAAAUGCAUUUUUCAUCUCACCCAGCAGACCACUGCUUGUGUUUUAAUGUAUGUUUCCUGCAAAUACAAUGCCAUUAUUGGCUGGCCUGUGUUUGAGCUUCCCCUGCUUUUUGGAAGACACAAUUUUCCCAAAAUGUUCUGUAAGUGUCCAGGGCAAUGUGUAUGCUUUGGAUGCAGAAAGCCACAGAGUCAAAUCUGCCAUUUGCAGGUAGGGCUGGGAAAAAUCUCUGCUUUAAAUCCAAGGCAGCCAUUUCUACUCAAUAAAGACUAUUUGAACAGGUUGGACCAAUGUUCUACCUCAAUACAAGGAAACUUCCUGUACUAAUAUUCUAACCAGAUUAAUUCCAAACUGAUGACAUAAAAGGAUCCCUAGCUACAUCAUAUUGAUAGAUAAAAUAUGGAUUUAUUAAUGUUGAUGCCUGAAGAAAUUGUCAUUUAAUUUGGACUUGAAGGUUACUUUACAUUUUUUUGGUGAAACUAGAAAAAGUCCAGGUUAUUGAAGUUGGAUCAACAUACUGAAGAUCAACAGAAUAAAUUACAUUUGUAUUGAUCUAUCAAGGAGAAGGUGAUGGGGAAGGAGAUCAGGAAAACUGUUGGAUACCCAACAACACAAGAAGUCAAGAAGCUCCAAAGGUGAAUCAGAAAGUUGAAAAAAAGAUCAAUGGGACUUUAAUCAGCAAUGAAUAGCAAAUGACUUAUCUGAAGACAUCAGAUGCAGACAUUCCCUGCUGAGAUUAAUUAGUGGGGUGCGAACAAAGUGGAGGCAUUAUCUUGGUGAGAGUUGCAAAAAGAACAUCAGGGCAUCUUUAGCACAACUGCUCUCAGUCCCACUACCCUCUCAAGCAUGACUGGUGGGGAUGAGAGACAGGGCCUUCUCAGUGGUGGCCCUUCAUCUGUGGAACUCUCUCCCUAAUGAAAUCAGUUCAGCCUCCCUGCCUCCUGUCCUUCAAGAAAAAACUUAAACAUGGCUGUGGGACCAAGCAUUUGAGCAGUAAAUUGCAGCAAUAGAAUAAUGAGGGUGAAUUUUUUUGUCACUGACAAUGGACAGACCUUGCACUGUGAUUUUGAAUUUGCGUAAUUUUAAUUAAUGAUUUAAUAACCGAUGUUUUAACUAUAUGGUUUUAAUUGUAACUAUUAUCUAUAAAUGUUUGUGUUGGCAUCAAAUUGUUGCCUGUUGUGAGGCCACUCUGAGUCCCCUUCGGGGUGAGACAGGCGGGGUAUAAAUUUGGGAAAUAAACUGCACAAAUAUGUCUCUUGGCAUUCAACAUCCUUCUUUCAAUAAGGUUCACAUUCCCAUACUCACUUUCUAUUGCCUCUCAGCUAACACACACUACUAGACCUUAUUCAGUUAAUAAGGCUUAAAAGAUUCAAUACAUGUAGUCCAAUAAGAGUUUUUUGAGGGGUAAAGCACCUGAAUCUGGCCCACAGCAGACUGUUUAAUCAUUGAAACCACUUAAGGUUUGUUUGUAUCCUCACCCUACAGUAUCUUUUUCAAAUCUUUGGCUACUAUAUUAAGGCUAUUUCUUCUAAGCAGAAGUGAAUGAGUCUGGAUACACUGUCUUUGCCAAGUGAACCUGGAUGUAGACUGGCACCAUCCAUUGAAACACCUCACCAGGGAAGGAUAAGGCUGCCCUGCAGCUCUUUCUUAGAUCCUCUGCUUCUAUUUGAUUGCUGUGAAGGGACAGAAAUGGAUUAAUGGAGGCAGAAUUUCUGGUUAAAAGCCAUUAAUAAAGAGGAAGGCUGCAUCCAAGGAAGUCUAGUAAUUUAUUGUGACAAGGAUUAGAAGGAGUAGAAAACUGAUUCUGAGCUCCAGAAGAAAGUGGAGGAUUUCUCUAGGGGUUCAUAUGUAAAAAAAAAUGUGCUAGAAGAGUACUAUCACCUUUAACAACCACUCCCUCUAGUGCACAAACAGUAGAAACAUGACACGAAUAAAUUCAUAUUUUUAUUUGUGAACAAAUAUAAAUGUGCCAUAAAUGUCUUAAAUUUCCACUGACCUUUUACUCUAAAAGAAACAAAAGCCAGAAAAAUGCUGUUCCUGGACUAUUGUUGUUAACUAACUUCAGGUCCACUUUUGCUUAUGGUAACCCUAUGAAUGAGAGACCUCCAAGUCAUCCAAUCCUCAACAGCCGUGCUCAGAUCUUGCACACUCAGGGUUGUGGCUCACCGGAUUGGGAUCCAUCUGAAAUGUGGCCUUCCUCUUUUGCUAUCACCCUCCACCUUAUUAAGCAUUAUCAUCUUGUCCAGUGAGCCAUGUCUUCUCAUUAUAUGUCUACAGUAUGACUAGCUCAGUUUAAUCAUCUUAGGCUCUAAGUAAAGUUCAGACUUACCUUGCUCUAAGAUCAAUUUAUUUUCAUUUUUAACAGUCCAUGGUACAGUAGUGUCUCACUUAUCCAGCAUAAACGGGCCGGCAGAAUGUUGGAUAAGCGAAUAUGUUGGAUAAUAAGGAGGCAUUAAGGAAAAGCCUAUUAAACAUCAAAAUAGGUUAUGAUUUUACAAAUGAAACACCAAAACAUCAUGUUAGACAACAAAUUUGGCAGAAAAAGUAGUUCAAUACGCAGUAAUGCUAUGUAGUAAUUACUGUAUUUAUGAAUUUAGCACCAAAAUAUCACGAUAUAUUGAAAACAUUGACUACAAAAAUGCGUUGGAUAAUCCAGAACGUUGGAUAAGCGAGUGUUGGAUAAGUGAGACUCUACUGUAUUUAUAGAACUCUUCUCCAACACCACAUUUCAAAUGAUGUGAUUUUCCUCCUAUUGUUUUGUUCACUGUUCUGCGAUGGUCACUGUCAUCCUUCACUACUGCUGCUAUUCAGUAGUUGUUUGGCACACUUAAUCUGGCUCCUUAGCAAAAGCCUGUCUGGCGUGAAAGACCCUACUAGCAGCAUCAACAUAGAUUCUUGCCUUACAGGAACACACAAUCCCAUUAUGGUGGAAAAGUAGUGCCCUUUCUCCAUAUUGGUAUUUCUGAGAUUUAAUCACUUACUUCUUUUCCCAGAGGGUAUUUGUUUUCAUUUGUAAGCCAUCAAGAUUUCUGGAUGUCUUUAUCUCCCACCUGCUCUGCCCACUAGGAUUUUUCCCUUCUCCUCUUCACAGAAGAAGAUCCAAAUGAAAUUUUCCAACCUCCUUUGCCUUCACAUUUCCCUAUUCUUUCAAUACCCCACUUCUGUAGACAAGUGUUUUUUCCCCCUGUAGAACUACACUGAAGAUUUUCCAUUGCCUUCUGAAAGAGUGAAAGCAAGGUGGUUCUUACGUGCUCAGGAAAAUGUGGAGAUGCAGGAGAGAGCCUCAGUAAGAAGAGCACAUGAGAGAUCUGGGAUUUGGUAAAUCUAUAUUUGAACUAUUUAAUUCUAGAAAUGAUCCUGGUAACUUUUAUAUAGUGAAUAGGUAUAGCUUUUUAGAAUAAUUAGGGAAUUGUAACAUUAAAUAGGAUUAUAACUGCUUAGAUUUUUGCAUCUUUAUUAACGACUUAGAUGAAGGGUUAGAAGGCACGAUCAUCAAGUUUGCAGACGACACCAAACUGGGAGGGAUAGCUAACACUCCAGAAGACAGGAGCAGAAUUCAAAAUGAUUUUAACAGAUUAGAGAGAUGGGCAGAAACUAACAAAAUGAAGUUCAACACAGACAAAUGCAAGAUACUUCACUUCGGCAGAAAAAAUGGAAUGCAAAGAUACAGAAUGGGGGACGAUGCCUGGCUCGACAGCAGUACAUGUGAAAAAGAUCUUGGGAGUCCUCGUGGACAACAAGCUAAACAUGAGCCUACAAUAUGAUGCGGCGGCGAAAAAAGCCAAUGGAAUUCUGGCCUGCAUAAAUAGGGGUAGUCAUGCUACCCCUGUAUUCUGCUUUGGUCAGGCCACACCUGGAAUACUGUGUUCAAUUCUGGGCACCACAGUUGAAGGGAGAUGUUGACAAGCUGGAAAGCGCCCAGAGGAGGGCAACUAAAAUGAUCAAGGGUCUGGAGAACAAGCCCUAUGAGGAGCAGCUUAAAGAGCUGGGUAUGUUUAGCCUGCAGAAGAGAAGGCUGGGAGGAGACAUGAUAGCCGUAUACAAAUAUGUCAGGAGAAGUCAUAGGGAGGAGGGAGCAAGCUUGUUUUCUGCUGCCCUGGAGACUAGGACGCGGAACAAUGGCUUCAAACUACAGGAAAGGAGAUUCCACCUGAACAUCAGGAAGAACUUCCUUACUGUGAGAGUUGUUCAGCAGUGGAACUCUCUGCCCCGGACUGUGGUAGAGGCUCUUUCUUUGGAGGCUUUUAAGCAGAGGCUGGAUAGCCAUCUGUCGGGAGGUGCUUUGAAUGAGAUUUUCCUGCUUCUUGCAGGGGAUUGGACUGGAUGGCCCGUGAGGUCUCUUUCAACUCUACGAUUCUAUGAUUCUAGGUUCUUUGUUUUGUCACAGCAAGAGAACAUGAGCAUGUUUUUUAUCCAUUAUUUGCUACAGUGAAGGAGUGUAAGGGCAGGAAUGCCUUUCAGGGAAAUUGCAAAAUACAUCUCUUUCCUUGUCUAUUAACAUCCAUGAAACAUUGUCUUGGAGUUUGGUAAGCUGCAAGGAUACUGAUUUGAAUAAACAUUCAAAGCUUUGUUAUAAUAUCCAUCAAAGAAAAAAGGUUAGGGUCCUGAAGAGAUUUGGAUACUUGAAGAGCAGUAUUUUUAAUAUUGCUAAUAUGUUGUAUAUGAAUUGGAAUUGUAGAGGGAAAUAUGUUGAGGUGUUUGUAUUGGAUUUGGGAAAUAAUGCUGUUUUAUGUUUCUAAGGUGUUUAUGAACCUGUUCAUUUAUUGUACUUUUUAUAGGAAAUUUUGUUUUCAAAAUAUACGAACUCGGAUAUUAGACAUCAAAGUCAUAUACUGGUAGUUUGAUGAUAACUCAGUUUCACCAUGUAUGAUCUCACUAUACUGUAAGAAUAGUUUUAGAUUGCUGAUGAUCUAAAUCCAGUUGGCUAGUCCUGUAAGUAUUCACUUGGCAUCCAUCUACUAAUUCAAUGGCUCUAAUCUACUUGGGACUACCAAUUGGAAGGAAGGAUCGUGUGUCCUGAAUUGGACACAUAAACUUUAAUGGGUCCAGAAUGACUGUUUUAAAUUCCUUAUAUCAAUUAGUAUCAUUGAUGCAAGCCAUACAAGGAAAUCACAGGUAAUGAACCAUAAUAAGUAGGGAUUAGCUAGACACAUCUCUGAAAGUUGUGACAUUUAGGAGGAGACAUCUUCCAUCCUUGUGUGCAUGUGUGCCUUCAAGCCACCUGUUGACUCGAGGUGACCCCAUGAAUUUCAUAGGGUUUUCUUAGGCAAGGAAUACUCCAAUAUGGUUUUGCCAGUUCCUUUCUCUGAAAUAGAGCCCAUAGCACCUGCUAUUUGGUGGUGACAAAGGAAGCAUCAGACAAAGAAGUAGUGUUUUAGUUUUGAGCUCUGGAAACGACCUGAAAUAUAUCUGAGGUAUAUGAUGUGGGUUGGCAAUACACUUCUGGUGGCAGUUAGAUAAAAAAAUCCUACUUAAAGCCAUAAAUGUUAUCUGUAUUUCAAUGAUUGUUUCCUUUUUUUGGUUACAUUUCAGAACUGCACAGCUCUAUAAGAACAAAAAUUAUGUUUUUAAGUUUUUCCAUUUGGGCAGAGGGUGCAAACUUGUGUGGUUGGGAAAGAUCCGCCAAAAAAAGGAGGGAGCAGUGAUAUAGGGGAAUAUUAUUACGAAUAUUAGUGUGUUUAUCUAUAUUCUGCUUUUUCUCUCUACAAAGAGACUCAAUAUGGCAUGGAUUGGGAGGCAUCAUCUCUCGGCUGUGUGAUAAGUCUGAUAUGCAUUAUUUUAUUAGAUACGAAAACGUAACAAGAAUUUGAACAGGUGUUGCAAGUUAUAACUCAAUGACAUGAAACAGAAUCACUGAAAGCAAAACAGCAGCUGUAAAAAGAAGAAUUAACAGUGCAAGACUGACACAAUAAUCCUGCAUAUAUUUCUGAGGAGAAAACCCAAUAAUCAAGAUGGUGCACACAGAAUUCCUCAUAUCAUUCAAGAAAGAAAAACAUAAUCAAUAUGCACCAAUGUCUAUCAUAUGUUACCUUGCUCUUUACACAACUGAAAAGACAGAGAAGACAGAACAAGUAGAGAUUGAACACUUG